This 615-nucleotide ribosomal RNA is filed under the name Aspergillus neoflavipes. Its description in RNAcentral is "SSU rRNA". It matches the Rfam family "Eukaryotic small subunit ribosomal RNA", at positions 71 to 690 of the family's 1831-position model. Lineage: Eukaryota; Fungi; Ascomycota; Eurotiomycetes; Eurotiales; Aspergillaceae. The record is from RNAcentral.
GCGAUUAACGGUGAACUGCGAAUGGCUCAUUAAAUCAGUUAUCGUUUAUUUGAUAGUACCUUACUACAUGGAUACCUGUGGUAAUUCUAGAGCUAAUACAUGCUGAAAACCCCAACUUCGGAAGGGGUGUAUUUAUUAGAUAAAAAACCAAUGCCCUUCGGGGCUCCUUGGUGAUUCAUAAUAACUUAACGAAUCGCAUGGCCUUGCGCCGGCGAUGGUUCAUUCAAAUUUCUGCCCUAUCAACUUUCGAUGGUAGGAUAGUGGCCUACCAUGGUGGCAACGGGUAACGGGGAAUUAGGGUUCGAUUCCGGAGAGGGAGCCUGAGAAACGGCUACCACAUCCAAGGAAGGCAGCAGGCGCGCAAAUUACCCAAUCCCGACACGGGGAGGUAGUGACAAUAAAUACUGAUACGGGGCUCUUUCGGGUCUCGUAAUUGGAAUGAGUACAAUUUAAACCCCUUAACGAGGAACAAUUGGAGGGCAAGUCUGGUGCCAGCAGCCGCGGUAAUUCCAGCUCCAAUAGCGUAUAUUAAAGUUGUUGCAGUUAAAAAGCUCGUAGUUGAACCUUGGGUCUGGCUGGCCGGUCCGCCUCACCGCGAGUACUGGUCCGGCUGGA